CCUACGGGAGGCAGCAGUGAGGAAUAUUGGUCAAUGGACGAGAGUCUGAACCAGCCAAGUAGCGUGAAGGAUGACUGCCCUAUGGGUUGUAAACUUCUUUUAUAUGGGAAUAAAACAGGGUAUGCAUACCCUCUUGUAUGUACCAUAUGAAUAAGGAUCGGCUAACUCCGUGCCAGCAGCCGCGGUAAUACGGAGGAUCCGAGCGUUCUCCGGAUUUAUUGGGUUUAAAGGGAGCGUAGGUGGAUUGUUAAGUCAGUUGUGAAAGUUUGCGGCUCAACCGUAAAAUUGCAGUUGAAACUGGCAGUCUUGAGUACAGUAGAGGUGGGCGGAAUUCGUGGUGUAGCGGUGAAAGGCUUAGAUAUCACGAAGAACUCCGAUUGCGAAGGCAGCUCACUGGACUGCAACUGACACUGAUGCUCGAAAGUGUGGGUAUCAAACAGGAUUAGAUACCCGUGUAGUC
This 460-nucleotide ribosomal RNA is filed under the name uncultured bacterium. Its description in RNAcentral is "partial 16S ribosomal RNA". It matches the Rfam family "Bacterial small subunit ribosomal RNA", at positions 338 to 795 of the family's 1533-position model. The record is from RNAcentral.